GACGAACGCUGGCGGCGUGCUUAACACAUGCAAGUCGAACGGAAAGGCCCUGCUUUUGUUGGUUGCUCGAGUGGCGAACGGGUGAGUAACACGUGAGUAACCUGCCCUUGACUUUGGGAUAACUUCAGGAAACUGGGGCUAAUACCGGAUAGGAGCUCCUGCUCCAUGGUGGGGGUUGGAAAGUUUCGGCGGUUGGGGAUGGACUCGCCGCUUAUCAGCUUGUUGGUGGGGUAGUGGAUUACCACGGCUUUGACGGGUAGCCGGCCUGGGAGGGUGACCGGCCACAUUGGGACUGAGCUACGGCCCAGACUCCUACGGGAGGCAGCAGUGGGGAAUAUUGCACAAUGGGCGGAAGCAUGAUGCAGCAACGCCGCGUGCGGGAUGACGGCAUUCGGGUUGUAAACCGCUUUCGCCUGUGACGAAGCGUGAGUGACGGUAAUGGGUAAAGAAGCACCGGCUAACUACGUG
Molecule: ribosomal RNA, 468 nt
Filed under: uncultured bacterium
Lineage: Bacteria
Description: partial 16S ribosomal RNA
Rfam family: Bacterial small subunit ribosomal RNA
Source: RNAcentral